This 253-nucleotide ribosomal RNA is filed under the name uncultured bacterium. RNAcentral describes it as "partial 16S ribosomal RNA". It matches the Rfam family "Bacterial small subunit ribosomal RNA", at positions 524 to 776 of the family's 1533-position model. The record is from RNAcentral.
UACGUAGGGCGCAAGCGUUGUCCGGAAUUAUUGGGCGUAAAGAGCUCGUAGGCGGUCUGUUACGUCCGCUGUGAAAACCCAGGGCUUAACCCUGGGCUUGCAGUGGAUACGGGUAGACUAGAGGCAGGUAGGGGAGAAUGGAAUUCCCGGUGUAGCGGUGAAAUGCGCAGAUAUCGGGAGGAACACCGGUGGCGAAGGCGGUUCUCUGGGAUGAUGCUGACGCUGAGGCGCGAAAGCCAGGGGAGCAAACGGG